This is a non-coding RNA of Pelobates cultripes (western spadefoot toad), 216 nucleotides long. The record is from the annotation of a GenBank genome assembly. NCBI's taxonomy places the organism in Eukaryota, Metazoa, Chordata, Amphibia, Anura, Pelobatidae.
GAAAUCAAUGUAAUUGCCCCCAAACACUUUAUAUCAGAGGUGUCCAAAAGGUAGAUCCACAGAUGUUUUAAAACUACAGCUUCCAUGAUGCUUUGUCGUACUAAAGGCACUCUAACGGCACGUAAAGAAUCAUGGGAGUUGAAGUUCUACAUCAUCUGUGGAUCUACCUUUUGGGCACCUCUGAUAUAAAGUGUUUGGGGCAAUUACAUUGAUUUC